GACGAACGCUGGCGGCGUGCUUAACACAUGCAAGUCGAACGGAAAGGCUCCAGCUUGCUGGCGUACUCGGGUGGCGAACGGGUGAGUAACACGUGGGUAAUCUGCCCUGCACUCUGGGAUAAGCCUGGGAAACUGGGUCUAAUACUGGAUAUGACCUUUCUCCUUAUGGGGUUUGGUGGAAAGUUUUUCGGUGUAGGAUGAGCCCGCGGCCUAUCAGCUUGUUGGUGGGGUGAUGGCCUACCAAGGCGACGACGGGUAGCCGGCCUGAGAGGGUGAUCGGCCACAUUGGGACUGAGAUACGGCCCAGACUCCUACGGGAGGCAGCAGUGGGGAAUAUUGCACAAUGGGCGGAAGCCUGAUGCAGCGACGCCGCGUGAGGGAUGACGGCCUUCGGGUUGUAAACCUCUUUCAGCAGGGACGAAGCGUAAGUGACGGUACCUGCAGAAGAAGCACCGGCUAACUAUGUG
RNAcentral lists this ribosomal RNA (467 nucleotides) under uncultured bacterium. RNAcentral describes it as "partial 16S ribosomal RNA". It matches the Rfam family "Bacterial small subunit ribosomal RNA", at positions 28 to 507 of the family's 1533-position model. The record is from RNAcentral.